GUAAAUAAUUAAGGGCGUAUGGUGGAUGCCUAGGCUCUCAGAGGCGAUGAAGGACGUGAUAAGCUGCGAAAAGCUCCGUUUAGGUGCAAAUAACCUUUGAUGCGGAGAUCUCCGAAUGGGAUAACCCAAUAUGUUGAAGACAUAUUAUACCGUAAGGUAGGCAAACGCAGGGAACUGAAACAUCUAAGUACCUGCAGGAGAAGAAAACAAACGUGAUUCCCCCAGUAGCGGCGAGCGACCGGGGAAAAGCCCAAACCGUUAUUGUUUCGGCAUUAACGGGGUAGUAGGACUGCAAGCUUGAUGAAAUAAAUGAAAUGGAACACUUUGGAAAAUGUGAUCACAGAGGGUGAUAAUCCCGUACAUGCAAGUUUAUGAAUCAUAGCAGACUCCUGAGUAAGUCGGGACACGUGUAAUCCUGACCGAAUCCGCCGGGACCAUCCGGCAAGGCUAAAUACUCCUGAGAGACCGAUAGUGAACCAGUACCGUGAGGGAAAGGUGAAAAGCACUUCGAACAGAAGAGUGAAAUAGUCCCUGAACCCAUACGCCUACAAGCAGUCGGAGCCGCUUCGUGCGGUGACGGCGUGCCUUUUGCAUAAUGAGCCUACGAGUUACUCAUCACCAGCGAGGUUAAGUACUUCAGGUACGUAAGCCGAAGCGAAAGCGAGUCUGAAUAGGGCGUCAAGUUGGUGGUGGUAGACGCGAAACCUUAGUGAUCUACCCAUGGGCAGGGUGAAGGUUUGGUAACACAAACUGGAGGCCCGAACCGGUAAACGUUGAAAAGUUUUCGGAUGACCUGUGGGUAGGGGUGAAAGGCCAAUCAAACUGGGAAAUAGCUCGUACUCUCCGAAAUGCAUUUAGGUGCAGCCUCUGUUGUUUUGUUCUAGAGGUAGAGCUACUGAUUGGAUGCGAGGGCUUCACCGCCUAUCAAAUCCGGCCAAACUCCGAAUGCUAGAACAUGAAGACAGGGAGUGAGCCAGCGGGUGCUAAGGUCCGUUGACGAAAGAGGGAGAACUCAGACCAUCAGCUAAGGUCCCCAAUUAUAUGCUAAGUUGGAAUUAAAACGGGGUGGGACUGCUUAGACAGCUAGGAUGUUGGCUUGGAAGCAGCCAUUCAUUUAAAGAGUGCGUAACAGCUCACUAGUCGAGCGGUCCUGCAUGGAUAAUACGCGGGCAUAAGCAUAUAACCGAAGCUAUGGGAUUGUAGAUGAUACAAUCGGUAGGAGAGCAUUCCAUUCAGCAUAGAAGCAGUACCGUGAGGUAUUGUGGAGCGGAUGGAAAAGCAAAUGUAGGCAUAAGUAACGAUAAUGCGGGUGAGAACCCCGCACGCCGAAAGAUCAAGGAUUCCCCGGCAAUGUCAAUCAUCCGGGGGUAAGUCGGAUCCUAAGGGUAAGCCGAGUGGCGAUCCCGAUGGUAAACAGGUUAAUAUUCCUGUACUGAUCAUAACUGCGAUGCAGCGACGCAGAGGUGACACUGCUGCGUACUGACGGAAUAGUACGUUGAAACCCGUAUUCUUUGAUACCGGUAGUGAAGCACGCCGGUAGAGAUGAAAGGUGAUAGUACCGCAAUGCUUCGGUUGCGCGGAUAAUGCAGGUAAGCUGACUGCCAAGAAAACCUGCUAAGCUUCAGGUAAUGAUCAUCCGUACUGUAAACGGACACACGUGAUCAGGUAGAAAAUACUAAGGCGCUCGAGAGAUUCAUGGUUAAGGAACUAGGCAAAAUGGUCCUGUAACUUCGGGAUAAAGGACGCUCUUGUGAAAGAGCCGCAGAUAAUAGGCCCAGGCGACUGUUUACCAAAAACACAUGGCUAUGCUAAUUCGCAAGAAGAUGUAUAUGGCCUGACACCUGCCCGGUGCCGGAAGGUUAAGAGGAGAGCUCAGAGGUAACUCGAAGGUUUGAAUUGAAGCCCCGGUAAACGGCGGCCGUAACUAUAACGGUCCUAAGGUAGCGAAAUUCCUUGUCGGGU
RNAcentral lists this ribosomal RNA (1962 nucleotides) under human gut metagenome. Its description in RNAcentral is "bacterial LSU rRNA". It matches the Rfam family "Bacterial large subunit ribosomal RNA", at positions 1 to 1977 of the family's 2925-position model. The record is from RNAcentral.